CCUACGGGUGGCAGCAGUGGGGGAUAUUGCACAAUGGGGGAAACCCUGAUGCAGCGACGCCGCGUGGGUGAAGACGCGCCUCGGCGCGUAAAGCCCUGUCAGCAGGGAGGAAAAUGACGGUACCUGAAGAAGAAGCCACGGCUAACUACGUGCCAGCAGCCGCGGUAAUACGUAGGGGGCAAGCGUUAUCCGGAUUUACUGGGUGUAAAGGGGGCGCAGACGGCGAUGCAAGCCAGGAGUGAAAGCCCGGGGCCCAACCCCGGGACUGCUGUUGGAACUGCGUGGCUAGAGUGCAGGAGGGGCAGGCGGAAUUCCUGGUGUAGCGGUGAAAUGCGUAGAUAUCAGGAGGAACACCGGUGGCGAAGGCGGCCUGCUGGACUGCAACUGACGUUGAGGCCCGAAAGCGUGGGGAGCAAACAGGAUUAGAUACCCUAGUAGUC
Molecule: ribosomal RNA, 440 nt
Filed under: uncultured bacterium
Lineage: Bacteria
Description: partial 16S ribosomal RNA
Rfam family: Bacterial small subunit ribosomal RNA
Source: RNAcentral